GGAGCCCAGCACAUGCUCAUCUGACCCAAGCAGGGGGCGGGGCUACAUCGGGAUCUUCUGCAGCUCUGCUGCUCUUCUUCUGGGGCCUGGCUGGCAGCGUGGAAGAGCAGGGAGGAGCUGCUGGAGGCUGCAAUUCAUCAAGGCAUCUUCCGGACGAUCGGAUCUCCUACAUGAAUAGUGAAUACCGACUGAAGACGCCAUCUGCCUCAGAGGAUACAGUUCUUCAGACGUUCCAUAUUGUGAGAAACCAUCACACAGUUGACUGCUCAGCAUCUGUACCAAAGUGAGGCCAGAUGCACUGUGUAUAGCUGCAUGUGUUCCAGCCCAGGCUCAGGGAGCACAGCU
Molecule: long non-coding RNA, 345 nt
Organism: Pseudophryne corroboree (corroboree frog)
Lineage: Eukaryota; Metazoa; Chordata; Amphibia; Anura; Myobatrachidae
Exons: 3
Source: RefSeq, a predicted model, not a curated record